RNAcentral lists this small RNA (16 nucleotides) under Vibrio cholerae O1 biovar El Tor str. N16961. Lineage: Bacteria; Pseudomonadati; Pseudomonadota; Gammaproteobacteria; Vibrionales; Vibrionaceae. The record is from RNAcentral.
CAUCUUGUUGCUGUGC